This 429-nucleotide ribosomal RNA is filed under the name Gemmatimonadota bacterium. RNAcentral's name for it is "Gemmatimonadetes bacterium partial 16S ribosomal RNA". It matches the Rfam family "Bacterial small subunit ribosomal RNA", at positions 355 to 776 of the family's 1533-position model. The record is from RNAcentral. Lineage: Bacteria; Pseudomonadati; Gemmatimonadota.
UAGGGAAUCUUCGGCAAUGGACGAAAGUCUGACCGAGCAACGCCGCGUGAGUGAAGAAGGUUUUCGGAUCGUAAAACUCUGUUGUUAGAGAAGAACAAGGACGUUAGUAACUGAACGUCCCCUGACGGUAUCUAACCAGAAAGCCACGGCUAACUACGUGCCAGCAGCCGCUGUAAUACGUAGGUGGCAAGCGUUGUCCGGAUUUAUUGGGCGUAAAGCGAGCGCAGGCGGUUUCUUAAGUCUGAUGUGAAAGCCCCCGGCUCAACCGGGGAGGGUCAUUGGAAACUGGGAGACUUGAGUGCAGAAGAGGAGAGUGGAAUUCCAUGUGUAGCGGUGAAAUGCGUAGAUAUAUGGAGGAACACCAGUGGCGAAGGCGGCUCUCUGGUCUGUAACUGACGCUGAGGCUAGAAAGCGUGGGGAGCAAACAGG